RNAcentral lists this non-coding RNA (19 nucleotides) under Rattus norvegicus (Norway rat). The record is from RNAcentral. Lineage: Eukaryota; Metazoa; Chordata; Mammalia; Rodentia; Muridae.
GAAAGACAGUCAUGGUAAC